This is a non-coding RNA of Hemibagrus wyckioides, 468 nucleotides long. NCBI's taxonomy places the organism in Eukaryota, Metazoa, Chordata, Actinopteri, Siluriformes, Bagridae. The record is from the annotation of a RefSeq genome assembly.
AUGUUUAUUCAAUAUUCCUGCAGUCAGAUACUGAUCGAGUCUGAUCCAGUGAUCAUCAAGCCUGAUGGAUUUGACUUUAGUAGCCAUUACAUGGCUUGGAUCAGACAGGUGUUUGGAAAAGGACAGGAAUGGGUUGCAAGAAUCCACAAUGUGGAAUGUGCAGUAGAGCUCACUCAGGACACCUCAGUGAUGUUAAAGCCUGGAGAUUCUUUAACCCUCAGCUGUAAAGUAUCCGGUUACUCAGUUACUGAUAACAGCUACGCCACAGCUUGGAUUCGACAACCUGCAGGGAAAACUCUGGAAUGGAUAAACCACAUUUGGGGGGGUGGAAGCAUGUAUCAUAAAGAGUCUCUAAAAAGCAAGUUCAGUAUUUCUAAAGAUGCCUCCAGCAGCACGGUGACUCUGAGAGGACAGAACAUGCAGACUGAAGACACAGCUGUGUAUUACUGUGCACGGAGACCACACUGA